GGCUCAUCACAUCCUGGGACUGAAAUAGGCCCCAAGGGUUAGGUUGUUCACCUAUUAAAGUGGUACGUGAGCUGGGUUUAGAACGUCGUGAGACAGUUCGGUCCCUAUCUACUAUUUGAUUUGAAAAUUUUCGAUUGUUAUUCUUCCUAGUACGAGAGGACUGGGGGGAUAUUAUCUCUGGUUGCACAGCUGUUAU
Molecule: ribosomal RNA, 196 nt
Filed under: Rickettsiales bacterium
Lineage: Bacteria; Pseudomonadati; Pseudomonadota; Alphaproteobacteria; Rickettsiales
Description: partial 23S ribosomal RNA
Rfam family: Bacterial large subunit ribosomal RNA
Source: RNAcentral